Long non-coding RNA from Hyposmocoma kahamanoa, 490 nucleotides. RefSeq lists it as uncharacterized. The transcript has 3 exons. The record is from RefSeq and is a predicted model, not a curated record. NCBI's taxonomy places the organism in Eukaryota, Metazoa, Arthropoda, Insecta, Lepidoptera, Cosmopterigidae.
UAAUUGUUCUUCCGGAUCGACUUUCACCAUUCCUAUGGUCGAAAAUUUAAGUCAUGUUUACGCUGUUUCCAAUCGAAUAAAAUCUCUCAACGCCAGUUUAUUUAGUGAUAAAUUAAUUUUGGUUGACAUUAGAAAAAAUCAAAUCUCACGUUUGGACUUGGAAACACUCGGAGUAAUGUUUUCGAAGGAAGAUCGACAUUUUAGACUAGCUGGGAAUCCAAUAAUCUGUGACUGUACAAAUCACGUGUUACUUAAAACUUUUCGAUUACAUCGCGAUCAGGUGGACGAUUACAAUGAUCUGACUUGUUUUGCAGAUGAAACUUUAUUGAAUAGCGUUAAAGAAGAUCAACUCUGUGGCAGCAAGCAGUCCAUAGCAGGAACAUCUAUUUUCACAAUACCGUUAGCGUGUAUCUGCGUUGUGCUUGUAAUUUUUGCAUUAAUGAAUUUCGUAUACUAUCGCUACAGAUAUCAAAUUAAGAUUUUUCUAUAC